AUAGAACUAGACAUAUUUUCUACUUGCUACAACAGUUGCAAUGGCUCAUAGCAUGUUGCAUAAGCAUAAAAAAAGUUGGAAGGAGCAUGUUAAUUAUGUAACCAUCAGGCUAUUUUCCUAAACUAAUAGCAAUACGCUCCAUAACAUUAUAGCAAUACGCUCCAUAACAUUAUAGCACACACCAAUGGAAAAUAAUCAUACUCAGUCUCUAACUAGUCUGUCCAAAAUGCUUCUCCAGCAGACAUUAUGACAUGCUUGUGAUUUUCUUUUAUUUUCUUAAAAGCCAAAGGAGAAAUUGCGCAUUAUGCCUUGU
Molecule: long non-coding RNA, 313 nt
Filed under: Vitis vinifera (wine grape)
Lineage: Eukaryota; Viridiplantae; Streptophyta; Magnoliopsida; Vitales; Vitaceae
Description: long non-coding RNA (VVIN_LNC004216)
Source: RNAcentral